GCUCAGCCCUAAACUUAGAUGUAAUAAUACAAGAAACAUCCGCCAGGGUACUACAAGCGCCAGCUUAAAACCCAAAGGACUUGACGGUGCCUCAGACCCACCUAGAGGAGCCUGUUCUAUAACCGAUAAUCCACGUUUAACCUCACCACCCCUUGUUCCCCAGCCUAUAUACCGCCGUCGCAAGCUUACCCUGUGAAGGACAAACAGUAAGCAAAGUGGGUAAAUCCCAAAACGUCAGGUCGAGGUGUAGCCUACGAGGUGGGAAGAAAUGGGCUACAUUUUCUGUACCAGAAUACACGAAUAGGACUAUGAAACUAGUCCUUAAAGGUGGAUUUAGUAGUAAAAAUUAAAUAGAGAGUCAUUUUGAAUCAGGCUCUGAGACACGC
Molecule: ribosomal RNA, 386 nt
Filed under: Brittanichthys axelrodi
Lineage: Eukaryota; Metazoa; Chordata; Actinopteri; Characiformes; Acestrorhamphidae
Description: partial 12S ribosomal RNA
Rfam family: Bacterial small subunit ribosomal RNA
Source: RNAcentral